Molecule: long non-coding RNA, 313 nt
Filed under: Salvia miltiorrhiza (redroot sage)
Lineage: Eukaryota; Viridiplantae; Streptophyta; Magnoliopsida; Lamiales; Lamiaceae
Description: long non-coding RNA (SMIL_LNC008791)
Source: RNAcentral
UCCCUAAUUCUCUUUCACAAUUUUAAGACAAGGUGAACUUAUAUUCCAUCAACUUUACACAUUAAACUGGAAAUUAAAACGUGGAAACGGCUUGGAAUUCCAACAAGUAGCAUAUCAAGAAUUUGGGUAAAAAUAAGACAAUCCUACCGAUUUUAUGGCGCAGAAAUGGGAAUAUUCACAGAUACCUGAUCCAAACAUUACAGAAAUCUCGAAUUCAGUCGGCUCUGUAAUGAAAUUUUCAAGACGGCUAUUUGUACUUCUCUUCCCUUCAGCUGUUACCAGCAAACAUGAUAGCAUAAGAAUUUGAUCCAAC